RNAcentral lists this ribosomal RNA (321 nucleotides) under Pycnogonum diceros. Its description in RNAcentral is "partial 12S ribosomal RNA". The record is from RNAcentral. Lineage: Eukaryota; Metazoa; Arthropoda; Pycnogonida; Pantopoda; Pycnogonidae.
UAUAAGAUUUUUCUAAAAACUUAAAAUAUUUGGCGGUAAAUAUAUUUUUUAGAGGAACUUGUAUUGUAAUCGAUAAUCCUCGUUUAAUUUUACCUUAAUUUUAUAUUAAUAUAUCGUUGUUUAGGAAUUUUUUAUUGAAUUAAUUUUCUUUAUUCUUUAUUAGAUUUAAAUCAAAUCAAGGUGUUAUUAUAUUAAGGUUUAUUAUGAGUUACAUUUGAUUUUAUUAAUUGUUGGAUAGUUUAUUGAAUUUAGUAUAUUUGAAAUUGGAUUUAAUUGUAAAUAAAUAUUAAAUUGAUUUAUUGAAUUAAUUCUUGUUUGUGU